This 439-nucleotide ribosomal RNA is filed under the name uncultured bacterium. RNAcentral's name for it is "partial 16S ribosomal RNA". It matches the Rfam family "Bacterial small subunit ribosomal RNA", at positions 339 to 795 of the family's 1533-position model. The record is from RNAcentral.
CUACGGGGGGCUGCAGUGGGGGAUAUUGCACAAUGGGCGAAAGCCUGAUGCAGCAACGCCGUGUGAAGGAUGACGGAUUUCGGUCUGUAAACUUCUAUCAGCAGGGAAGAAAAUGACGGUACCUGACUAAGAAGCCCCGGCUAACUACGUGCCAGCAGCCGCGGUAAUACGUAGGGGGCAAGCGUUAUCCGGAAUUACUGGGUGUAAAGGGUACGUAGGCGGCUGAUCAAGUCAGAUGUGAAAGCCCGGAGCUCAACUCCGGGAUUGCAUUUGAAACUGGUCGGCUAGAGUGCAGGAGAGGAAAGUGGAAUUCCUAGUGUAGCGGUGAAAUGCGUAGAUAUUAGGAAGAACACCAGUGGCGAAGGCGGCUUUCUGGACUGUAACUGACGCUGAGGUACGAAAGCGUGGGGAGCGAACAGGAUUAGAUACCCGCGUAGUC